GCCUAUGGCCAAACCACCCUGAAAAUGCCCGAUCCUAUCUGAUCCCGGAAGCUAAGCAGGGUUGGGCCUAGUGCUUGAAAGGGAGAAAUGGAAA
RNAcentral lists this ribosomal RNA (94 nucleotides) under Jaculus jaculus (lesser Egyptian jerboa). The record is from RNAcentral. Lineage: Eukaryota; Metazoa; Chordata; Mammalia; Rodentia; Dipodidae.